AUGCUAGUCGAACGACCAGAACUAUGUCUGGAGUGGCACACUGCUCAGUAACACGUAGCUAACCUACCCUUAGGACGUGGAUACCCCCGAGAAAUUGGGGUUAAUCCGCGAUAGGUGUAAUGUCCUGGAAUGGUAUUACGCCUAAAGGUGUAUCAUACAUGUUUGAUAUACGCCUAAGGAUGGGGCUGCGGCCGAUCAGGCUGUUGGUGAGGUAAUGGCUCACCAAACCUUUGACCGGUACGGGCCAUGAGAGUGGUAGCCCGGAGAUGGACACUGAGACAAGGGUCCAGGCCCUAAGGGGCGCGGCAACCGCGAAACCUCCACAAUGCACUCACGUGCGAUGGGGCUAUCUCGAGUGCCACCUGAUGAAGGUGGCUUUUCCUAGGUCUUCAAAGCCUUGGGAAUAAGAGGGGGGCAAGACUGGUGUCAGCCGCCGCGGUAACACCAGCCCCUCGAGUGGUGGGGAUGAUUAUUUGGCCUAAAGCGUCCGUAGCCGGCCGAGCAAGUCUUCCGUUAAAUCCAGCGUCUCAAGCGUUGACUGCGGGAGAUACUACACGGCUAGAGAGUGGGAGAGGUCAGCGGUAUUCUGGGGGUAGGGGCGAAAUCCUUUGAUCCCCGGAGGACCACCAGUGGCGAAGGCUGCUGACUAGAACACGUCUGACGGUCAGGGACGAAAGCUGGGGUAGCGAACCGGAUUAGAUACCCGGGUAGUCCCAGCCGUAAACGAUGCAUGCUAGGUGUUGGGUUGGCCACGAGCCACCCCAGUGCCGCAGGGAAGCCGUUAAGCAUGCCGCCUGGGAAGUACGAUCGCAAGAUUGAAACUUAAAGGAAUUGGCGGGGGAGCACCACCAGGCGUGAAGCCUGCGGUUUAAUUGGAGUCAACGCCGGGAACCUUACCGGGAGCGACAGCAGAAUGAAGGCCAGAUUGAAGAUCUUGCCAGACGAGCUGAGAGGAGCUGCAUGGCCGUCGCCAGUUCGUGCCGUGAGGUGUUCUCUUAAGUGAGAUAACGAACGAGACCCGUGCCACAUGUUGCCACCAGUAUCUAAAGGAUAGCUGAGCACUCUUGUGGGACCGCAGCCGAUAAGGCUGAGGAAGGUACGGGCAACGGCAGGUCAGUAUGCCCCGAAUCUCCCGGGCCACACGCGGGCUGCAAUGGUACAGACAGAGGGCUGCCACCCCGAAAGGGGGAGCCAAUCCCUAAACUGUACCUCAGUUGGGAUCGAGGGUUGCAACCCACCCUCGUGAACAUGGAAUGCCUAGUAACCGCCAGUCAUCAUCUGGCGGUGAAUACGUCCCUGCUCCUUGCACACACUGCCCGUCGAACCACCCGAAUGAGGUUUGGGUGAGGAAUGGUCGAAUGUUGGCCGUUUCGAACCUGGGCCUCGUAAGGAGGGUUAAGUCGUAACAAGGUG
Molecule: ribosomal RNA, 1413 nt
Filed under: metagenome
Description: bacterial SSU rRNA
Rfam family: Archaeal small subunit ribosomal RNA
Source: RNAcentral